AUUAACAAAUUAAUGCUAAAAAGAAAGUUAGAAGCUUUCAUAGAAUAUUUCAAU
Molecule: transfer RNA, 54 nt
Filed under: Libnetis sp. UPOL A00586
Lineage: Eukaryota; Metazoa; Arthropoda; Insecta; Coleoptera; Lycidae
Description: partial tRNA-Ser
Source: RNAcentral